GACGAACGCUGGCGGCGUGCUUAACACAUGCAAGUCGAGCGAGGCCCCUCCUUCGGGAGGGUGUCCUAGCGGCGAACGGGUGAGUAACACGUGGGCAACCUGCCCUCAUCUCUGGGAUAACUCCCUGAAACCGGGGCUAAUACCGGAUACGACCUCCACUGGCAUGUGCGGAGGUGGAGAGUUUUUCGGCUGAGGCUGGGCCGGCGGCCUAUGACCUAGUUCGUGGGGUAGUGGCACACCAAGGCGACGACGGGUAGCCGGCAUUAGAGGGGGGCCGGGCACCCUGCGCCUGAGACAGGGACCAGACUCCUACGGGAGGCAGCAGUGGGGAGUAUGACGCAGUGGGCGAGAGCCUGUCGCGGCGACGCCGCGAGAGGGACGAAGGGCUUCGGGUUGUAAACCUCUUUCAGCAGGGACGAAGCGAAAGUGACGGUACCUGCAGAAGAAGCCCCGGCCAACUACGUG
Molecule: ribosomal RNA, 465 nt
Filed under: uncultured bacterium
Lineage: Bacteria
Description: partial 16S ribosomal RNA
Rfam family: Bacterial small subunit ribosomal RNA
Source: RNAcentral